AACGCUAGCUACAGGCUUAACACAUGCAAGUCGAGGGGAAACGACAUCGAAAGCUUGCUUCCGAUGGGCGUCGACCGGCGCACGGGUGAGUAACGCGUAUCCAACCUGCCCACCACUUGGGGAUAACCUUGCGAAAGUAAGACUAAUACCCAAUGACGUCUCUAGAAGACAUCUGAAAGAGAUUAAAGAUUUAUCGGUGAUGGAUGGGGAUGCGUCUGAUUAGCUUGUUGGCGGGGUAACGGCCCACCAAGGCUACGAUCAGUAGGGGUUCUGAGAGGAAGGUCCCCCACAUUGGAACUGAGACACGGUCCAAACUCCUACGGGAGGCAGCAGUGAGGAAUAUUGGUCAAUGGGCGAGAGCCUGAACCAGCCAAGUAGCGUGCAGGAUGACGGCCCUAUGGGUUGUAAACUGCUUUUAUAAGGGAAUAAAGUGAGUCUCGUGAGACUUUUUGCAUGUACCUUAUGAAUAAGGACCGGCUAAUUCCGUGCCAGCAGCCGCGGUAAUACGGAAGGUCCGGGCGUUAUCCGGAUUUAUUGGGUUUAAAGGGAGCGUAGGCCGGAGAUUAAGCGUGUUGUGAAAUGUAGACGCUCAACGUCUGCACUGCAGCGCGAACUGGUUUCCUUGAGUACGCACAAAGUGGGCGGAAUUCGUGGUGUAGCGGUGAAAUGCUUAGAUAUCACGAAGAACUCCGAUUG
This 696-nucleotide ribosomal RNA is filed under the name uncultured bacterium. RNAcentral describes it as "bacterial SSU rRNA". It matches the Rfam family "Bacterial small subunit ribosomal RNA", at positions 32 to 715 of the family's 1533-position model. The record is from RNAcentral.